UGCCAGCCGCCGCGGUAAUACAGAGGGUGCAAGCGUUGUUCGGAAUUAUUGGGCGUAAAGCGCGCGUAGGCGGAUAGUUAAGUUUGAUGUGAAAGCCCUGGGCUCAACCCGGGAUGUGCAUCGAAAACUGGCUAUCUAGAGUCCCAGAGAGGAUGGUGGAAUUCCCGGUGUAGAGGUGAAAUUCGUAGAUAUCGGGAGGAACAUCAGUGGCGAAGGCGGCCAUCUGGCUGGUGACUGACGCUGAGGUGCGAAAGCGUGGGUAGCGAACAGGAUUAGAUA
RNAcentral lists this ribosomal RNA (279 nucleotides) under uncultured bacterium. Its description in RNAcentral is "partial 16S ribosomal RNA". It matches the Rfam family "Bacterial small subunit ribosomal RNA", at positions 506 to 784 of the family's 1533-position model. The record is from RNAcentral.